AAUAGAUACCCAGGUAGUCCACGCCGUAAACGAUGUCGACUUGGAGGUUGUGCCCUUGAGGCGUGGCUUCCGGAGCUAACGCGUUAAGUCGACCGCCUGGGGAGUACGGCCGCAAGGUUAAAACUCAAAUGAAUUGACGGGGGGCCCGCACAAGCGGUGGAGCAUGUGGUUUAAUUCGAUGCAACGCGAAGAACCUUACCUACUCUUGACAUCCAGAGAACUUAGCAGAGAUGCUUUGGUGCCUUCGGGAACUCUGAGACAGGUGCUGCAUGGCUGUCGUCAGCUCGUGUUGUGAAUGUUGGGUUAAGUCCCGCAACGAGCGCAACCCUUAUCCUUUGUUGCCAGCGGUUAGGCCGGGAACUCAAAGGAGACUGCCAGUGAUAAACUGGAGGAAGGUGGGGAUGACGUCAAGUCAUCAUGGCCCUUACGAGUAGGGCUACACACGUGCUACAAUGGCAUAUACAAAGAGAAGCGACCUCGCGAGAGCAAGCGGACCUCAUAAAGUAUGUCGUAGUCCGGAUUGGAGU
This 527-nucleotide ribosomal RNA is filed under the name uncultured bacterium. RNAcentral's name for it is "bacterial SSU rRNA". It matches the Rfam family "Bacterial small subunit ribosomal RNA", at positions 777 to 1304 of the family's 1533-position model. The record is from RNAcentral.